GACUUGGAUUAGCGAUUCUUCCGAUAGAAGGAAGAAACCGAGACGUGAGGGAUCAGGUUGUGCCAAGGAGGAGGUGACCGAAACGGAGGAGAUCGCGACAGAGACGUAACCUGUGUGUGUGAAUCCGAACUUCUCAAAGAGGAUCAUAGGUCGGUUGUCGGAUCGGAUCUUCAGAGAUUUGAUCUCCGCCGUAGUUGGUGCAGUGGAUAUGAAGACGAGGAGUAAGACAGCUAUGAGAAUUUUUCCUAAAAUCCUCAUUUUGGAUUCACCGGUGGUGGGUAACGGCGGAGGAAGGCGGUGGUCCAAAAAAAGGAGAGUAACAAGAAAUGAUGUGGGGCGACUGCUUAGGCUGAAAUACAGAGAGUAAUGAG
RNAcentral lists this long non-coding RNA (371 nucleotides) under Lactuca sativa (garden lettuce). RNAcentral describes it as "long non-coding RNA (LSAT_LNC006361)". The record is from RNAcentral. Lineage: Eukaryota; Viridiplantae; Streptophyta; Magnoliopsida; Asterales; Asteraceae.